This 540-nucleotide long non-coding RNA is filed under the name Sus scrofa (pig). RNAcentral describes it as "lncRNA (ENSSSCG00070006275.1)". Lineage: Eukaryota; Metazoa; Chordata; Mammalia; Artiodactyla; Suidae. The record is from RNAcentral.
CCCUCACCCAGCUGCUGCGGCGGAGAGACGGAGGCCAGCGCGGGGAGCGGAAGCCGGAGCCUGUCGGGAGCGACCCCGGGAAGGCCAGUCCCUCCUGCCGGAGGGAGGCGUGUUGGCGUGCGGCCGGUGGCGGGAUCGAUGGCCACCUGGUAGGCGAUGCUGCUGCGGCGGAGAGACGGAGGCCAGCGCGGGGAGCGGAAGCCGGAGCCUGUCGGGAGCGACCCCGGGAAGGCCAGUCCUCCUGCCGGGGGAGGCGUGUUGGCGUGCGGCCGGUGGCGGGAUCGAUGGCCACCUGGUAGGCGAUGGUAAGCGGCAGUGGCCUGCGCCAAGGUAGCCCCCGGGGGGCGGUGUGUGGCGCCCGGACCCGCACCCUCUGCUCCCGGGGGUGGAGCUGACCUGCUUGCCCGCGGUUGGGCUCGGGAGCCUGCGGGCCGCGGCCAGGAGGGAGCUGGCUGGCCGUCCCGGCGGUGGGGGCUGUGGCGGUGGCCGUCCCGCGGGUGUGCCCGUGCUCGGAUCGAUGAUGACACCCACAAACGCAUU